This is a long non-coding RNA of Mytilus trossulus (common blue mussel), 302 nucleotides long. RefSeq lists it as uncharacterized. The record is from RefSeq and is a predicted model, not a curated record. Lineage: Eukaryota; Metazoa; Mollusca; Bivalvia; Mytilida; Mytilidae. The transcript is spliced from 3 exons.
GGUUAUCCUGGUAGAAAUGGCUUACAUGGAGGUCCUUCUGGUCCCAAAGGUGACGCUGGUGUUAAUGGAGCGAAAGGAAAUGCAGGAUUACCAGGUUUGCCUGGUUCAAUACCGUCUGGAUGUGGAUGUGAUGGGCUAACUACAAUCACAACGGAAAAUGUAUCAGUUACUAACACAAAACAAGAUCAGUCAAUAGAGCCAUUUGUAAUAAUUGGAAUUAUACUGUUUGUCACAGACUUGGUGGUGAUUGGUUUGUUUUUUCUUGUAAAAAAGGGUAAUUUUUGGAUACUCCUGUUCAUGUU